RNAcentral lists this ribosomal RNA (670 nucleotides) under uncultured Enterococcus sp. Its description in RNAcentral is "bacterial SSU rRNA". It matches the Rfam family "Bacterial small subunit ribosomal RNA", at positions 28 to 669 of the family's 1533-position model. Lineage: Bacteria; Bacillati; Bacillota; Bacilli; Lactobacillales; Enterococcaceae. The record is from RNAcentral.
GACGAACGCUGGCGGCGUGCCUAAUACAUGCAAGUCGAACGCUUCUUUUUCCACCGGAGCUUGCUCCACCGGAAAAAGAGGAGUGGCGAACGGGUGAGUAACACGUGGGUAACCUGCCCAUCAGAAGGGGAUAACACUUGGAAACAGGUGCUAAUACCGUAUAACAAUCGAAACCGCAUGGUUUUGAUUUAAAAGGCGCUUUCGGGUGUCGCUGAUGGAUGGACCCGCGGUGCAUUAGCUAGUUGGUGAGGUAACGGCUCACCAAGGCCACGAUGCAUAGCCGACCUGAGAGGGUGAUCGGCCACAUUGGGACUGAGACACGGCCCAAACUCCUACGGGAGGCAGCAGUAGGGAAUCUUCGGCAAUGGACGAAAGUCUGACCGAGCAACGCCGCGUGAGUGAAGAAGGUUUUCGGAUCGUAAAACUCUGUUGUUAGAGAAGAACAAGGAUGAGAGUAACUGUUCAUCCCUUGACGGUAUCUAACCAGAAAGCCACGGCUAACUACGUGCCAGCAGCCGCGGUAAUACGUAGGUGGCAAGCGUUGUCCGGAUUUAUUGGGCGUAAAGCGAGCGCAGGCGGUUUCUUUAGUCUGAUGUGAAAGCCCCCGGCUCAACCGGGGAGGGUCAUUGGAAACUGGGAGACUUGAGUGCAGAAGAGGAGAGUGGAAUUC